AUGGCUUGAAACAGUCAGAAGAUUGGUGUUUAGGGGAAAGAGUUCAGUUGUAUCAGGCUAUUUAGGGGGCUAGCUGCAAGAAUGCAGAGACAUUUCUCACACUAGUCCACUUGCUUACUAAUAUGAAUAACUAAUGAUUAAAGCAUCUGAUCUACCGAGGGCUGUGAGAUUAUUAGACCAGGCUUGUGAAACUCCUUUGUCACUGUCUGGAAAAGCCAGACUUCUCUGGAUGUUGCAGUUUAAUUUUUUUCCCCUCCUCAGAGGAUGUGGUAUGGCUUCAGCCAAUAAUUUAGAAUCAGCAGAGAGUGACACGGCAUCAAAAGCAACACUAAAUGUACUGAUCCUCUUCUUCGCCUGGGCUAUCUGCAAUUUACAUAGUGCUGUCGGCUUAUUUCCUUGCUUGGUGCUUGAGUGUGACUGAUGAUACAAGUCUCAACACAGAGCUGGGAACAGCAUCAGGGCAUGCCUCGACAUACAAGAGUUACCAGUGAAUUGCAUGAGUGUGGGAGGAGCAGGUCAUCUGGCUCUCAUCUCGGAUGGUAGACCAAGGAAUGUUAGGGAAUAUGCCAAGCGUUUCUGGAUGUGAGAGCUACAACCCAGAGGGCUGAUAGAAAUUAAAGAUACACUGGUAUAGUGGUUAAUGCUCCAAAUUCACGGACAGUAAUAAAAAUAAUGUUGCCCAGAAAGCAGCAGGAGGCAUGCUGGAGAAAAAGAGACAGGCCAAUAGAAUGAACAGAAAUGUUUGCAUCAUUGUCAGAUGGAUGACCAGGCUGAUUAUUGUACUUGGCUUGCUCAGCUCUUCAGUGGCAGACGACUUUCUAGCUCCUGGGAGAAUGGUGGAAGAUCCACUCCCACUCUUCCCCUCUCUUCCUGGCUGGGGUGAAGAAGGCAAGCUCUUCUCAUCACUAGAAUCUCUUUCUCUCCUCUCCUCCCUAAAUGGGAGAAGAUCCCUGGUUUUGUAUUUCCGCCCCUCCUUUUUGCUCUCAGCAUGGUAAAGCAACAAACCACUGGAGGAAAAAAUUGCUUGCUCUCAUGCUUAUUACAAAAACAGAACUUUGCAAAUCACUGGCAGAGGGUCUGGACAUGAAAUUGCAUUCUGUCUACUUUCAUAAUAAUUGGACCACACGGCUUCCUGUCAACACAACACUUUUUGUCACCUUUCAACAUCUUGCACUUUCUGCACAGUUCACACACUAAAACAAUGUGUAAAAGUGGUGUUCAAGAAAAAACAAGCACAUAAAACCAAUAAACUGAGAUUCUCAGUGGUGUUUUUUCCCCCUGUAUGUGCUGGAAGAGUCAAAACUCCCCAACCAGCACAUCUGGAUGAAGACGAAUUAAGGUCACUGUGUGGAUUCAAAACACUGAAACCAUGUGAACAGUGUUUCCUGCAGUCUGAUGAAUCUGUCUGUCUCCCAUAUGUUCAAUCAGGACUGGCUUUAGGCACCAGCAAACCAAGCCCAUGCUUGGGGCGGCAGAAUUGCAGGGGCAGCAUUCCAGGAGGUUGUUGUUGGUUUUUUUGCUUCGGCAGUUGCGCUCUCGGAGGUUUGGUUUUUUUUCUUGGGGCAGCAAAAAACCUAGAGCCAGCCCUGUGUGCAAUAGCUCCUUUACAGACCUGAUUUUUCUGAAGCACUGCAAAUAAAGACCCAGAAAUGCACAUCCCCUUCCCAUUUGCCAAUCCUAAGGAUACAUAAGAGCCAAGAUUGCCUUUUAUUGCCCCUAACUAGAUCAACCUCUGCUUCUGAGCCACUCUUUGAUGUCUGUCCCAAAGGGUGACAGCAAAAUGAUCAUUUGAAAAAAAAUAUAGCCUUUAGUUUUUUUGAUUGACAAGCAACCCAGCUUGCCUGAUGGAGAUCUCCAAAACAGCUUGCAAUUACGUCAAAAGCAUCAAAGAGAGUUUGCCAAGCUGAGUGACUUUGGGUAAGUCACAUAACCUUUUGUGUCCCCGUUCAUCAUCUUUUGGGACUUAAUCUAAGAUUUGUUGGGUUUUUUGUUUUUGUCUUUCAAAAUAAAUUCACACUGGCAGAGAUGGAUAAUCUUUCCAAAAUCCAGAAUAGCAAACUCAAGCUAAGAAUUGAUAUAGUGCACUUCCAUUAACUUUCAGUGACAGCUGUGAGCACUCAAUCAGCUCACUUUUAUUUAGGUGCCUAUUUCUAGAUUUAGGUGUCUAACUUUACAUAAGAGCAUAAACAUUUCCAUAUUGGGUCAAACCAAUCUUGUCCAGUAUCCUGUCUCCAUCAGUGGUCCAAGCUUGAGCUUCAGGGAAGUGUACAGAACAGGGCAAUUUUGGAGUAAUCCACUCCCAUCUUGCACUCUCAGUUUAUAGAAGUCAGAACUUUAGGAUCGCACCAAGCACAGGUUUGCAUCACUGACCAUCUUGGCUAAUAACCAUUGAUGGACUUAUCCUCCAUGAACUUACCUAGUGUGAUGUUGUAUGAUUGAAGUGGAUAUUACCACUGUUAUACAGCUGCAACAAAUCUUUUACAAAGUGUAUCAUGUAAGGUGUUGUGAAAAAAGUUACAAUCUGUCAAGUAUGAUUAUCCCGGUUAAAUCCAUGCAUCAUCGUCUGAAGUUAUGAAUACUGACUAUGUAUUUGUAUCUUAAAUGUGUUUGUUCUUGAGGUGACACCCAUAAGGUAGUUUAUCUCCAGUCUCACCAGCCCAUUGUGAAUGGACCAUUCAAGUUUGAUUGGCCAUUAAGAAGAAUUAACUCUCAAGAUAACUCUUCCUGAGGAUGCCUGAGACAGCAAGGAGCCAAUGGCCACCCCAUGAUUCAGGAAAACGUGUAAGGUCAUGUGAUGUGGACAUGUGACCACAGACUCCAUCUUUUUUUCACUUUCUAUACAAAGGGGCUGUGGGCAUUAUUUAAGGCAGAGGAUAUAAAAGACUCCUGAGACAUCUCCAUUUUGCCUCAUUCCUGCUCCAAUUCUCUGGACUGUGGAUUUACAACUAAAAGGAGUAUUUUGAACUAAGGACCUUCCAAUCUUGUGGAAAUUACCAGAGAGACUUUUGCAAGCCAGCAGUCUAUUCCAUCACUGCUACAAACCUGAUCUGAGGUCUUUGUUAUCAUUUGUAUGUAUA
Chrysemys picta bellii (western painted turtle) is the source of this 3077-nucleotide long non-coding RNA. RefSeq lists it as uncharacterized. Lineage: Eukaryota; Metazoa; Chordata; Testudines; Emydidae. The record is from RefSeq and is a predicted model, not a curated record.